This 492-nucleotide ribosomal RNA is filed under the name uncultured bacterium. RNAcentral describes it as "partial 16S ribosomal RNA". It matches the Rfam family "Bacterial small subunit ribosomal RNA", at positions 29 to 507 of the family's 1533-position model. The record is from RNAcentral.
AGUGAACGCUGGCGGUAAGCCUAACACAUGCAAGUCGAACGGCAGCACAGUAAGAGCUUGCUCUUACGGGUGGCGAGUGGCGGACGGGUGAGGAAUACAUCGGAAUCUACUUUUUCGUGGGGGAUAACGUAGGGAAACUUACGCUAAUACCGCAUACGACCUACGGGUGAAAGCAGGGGAUCUUCGGACCUUGCGCGAUUGAAUGAGCCGAUGUCGGAUUAGCUAGUUGGCGGGGUAAAGGCCCACCAAGGCGACGAUCCGUAGCUGGUCUGAGAGGAUGAUCAGCCACACUGGAACUGAGACACGGUCCAGACUCCUACGGGAGGCAGCAGUGGGGAAUAUUGGACAAUGGGCGCAAGCCUGAUCCAGCCAUACCGCGUGGGUGAAGAAGGCCUUCGGGUUGUAAAGCCCUUUUGUUGGGAAAGAAAAGCAGCAGGUUAAUACCCCGCUGUUCUGGCGGUACCCAAAGAAUAAGCACCGGCUAACUUCGUG